UUUAAAUGAUACUUCUACCACUGCACCAACAGAAAUUUUAUUUAUCCUGAUAUUAGUCAAUUGUUAGAUGAUUUGUAUAGAUCUGUCACUAGACUGUCAGUCAGUCCUACAGUUCAUUUGUGUCUAUUUUUUUCUUAAUAUAUUUAAAUAUUUAAAGUAGUUUUGAUUUGGAAGAAAACAAAAUGAGGUGGGAUGAAAUAAACUAGGGUUCUAGGUCCCAAGGUUAUGUUUAAAUAUUGCUUCAGGUUUGGCAGAUUACUUUUUUGCAAAUUUUACAAAUUUCUUUUUAAUAAAAGAUUCAAGGUCUUUUUAGAUGGGAUUUUAUGUAACUCGAUCAUUAAACCAAAAAAGCUGUCAGUUCAAUUAGACCACGUUGGAGCCAUCUUCAUAUUUCUAAUGUUCUUAAUUGCAUUAUGGUUAUCCAGGAACUUUGUGUUUUGCAGAAAAAAAUGUAUCUUUAUUGUUAUGCUUUGUAUAUCAUGUAUAUGUAUAAAAUAAGAAUAUAUUUGUUUCUUAUCAGUGUCAGUUACUGAUUUAGAAUCAUAGCAAUAAAUUAC
This 557-nucleotide long non-coding RNA is filed under the name Mytilus galloprovincialis (Mediterranean mussel). The record is from RNAcentral. Lineage: Eukaryota; Metazoa; Mollusca; Bivalvia; Mytilida; Mytilidae.